UUGGAGGGCAAGUCUGGUGCCAGCAGCCGCGGUAAUUCCAGCUCCAAUAGCGUAUAUUAAAGUUGUUGCAGUUAAAAAGCUCGUAGUUGAAUUUCGAGACCGGUUUAUUGGUCGUGCUUUUGUACGUACUGGUAUUAUUGGUUUCUCCUUUCUGACGAAUCUUAAUGCCAUUAAUUUGGUGUUUUGGGGAAUCAGGACUGUUACUUUGAAAAAAUUAGAGUGUUUAAAGCAGGCUCACGCUUGAAUACAUUAGCAUGGAAUAACGGAAUAGGACGUUUGAUUCUAUUUUGUUGGUUUCUAGGAUCGACGUAAUGAUUAAUAGGGAUAGUUGGG
This 333-nucleotide ribosomal RNA is filed under the name Glomus sp. Its description in RNAcentral is "SSU rRNA". It matches the Rfam family "Eukaryotic small subunit ribosomal RNA", at positions 548 to 886 of the family's 1831-position model. The record is from RNAcentral. Lineage: Eukaryota; Fungi; Glomeromycota; Glomeromycetes; Glomerales; Glomeraceae.